This 203-nucleotide unclassified non-coding RNA is filed under the name Photobacterium damselae subsp. damselae. RNAcentral's name for it is "partial miscellaneous RNA". Lineage: Bacteria; Pseudomonadati; Pseudomonadota; Gammaproteobacteria; Vibrionales; Vibrionaceae. The record is from RNAcentral.
UAGCUCUUUAACAAUUUGGAAAGCAGACUAGUAAAUUCAAUCGAAUGAUUGAUUUAUUUUAAGUUUUUAUCGAAAGAUAAAAACGAGUUCUCAAAACAAACACACUCAAGUGUCUUGUGUAAGAGUCCGGCGAAACAACGUCUAUCACAACUCAGAUAGACAACCUUGGUUGUUUGAACAUACGAAACCUCUUGGGGUUGUAU